UACGGAGGGUGCAAGCGUUGUCCGGAAUUACUGGGCGUAAAGAGCUCGUAGGUGGUUUGUCGCGUUGUCCGUGAAAACUCACAACUCAAUUGUGGGCGUGCGGGCGAUACGGGCAGACUGGAGUACUGCAGGGGAGACUGGAAUUCCUGGUGUAGCGGUGGAAUGCGCAGAUAUCAGGAGGAACACCGGUGGCGAAGGCGGGUCUCUGGGCAGUAACUGACGCUGAGGAGCGAAAGCGUGGGGAGCGAACAGG
Molecule: ribosomal RNA, 253 nt
Filed under: uncultured bacterium
Lineage: Bacteria
Description: partial 16S ribosomal RNA
Rfam family: Bacterial small subunit ribosomal RNA
Source: RNAcentral